RNAcentral lists this ribosomal RNA (682 nucleotides) under uncultured fungus. RNAcentral's name for it is "eukaryotic LSU rRNA". The stretch from base 297 to 450 matches the Rfam family "5.8S ribosomal RNA". The record is from RNAcentral. Lineage: Eukaryota; Fungi.
AUUGGAAGUAAAAGUCGUAACAAGGUUUCCGUAGGUGAACCUGCGGAAGGAUCAUUAUUGAAUGAACUUGACUUGGUUGCUGCUGGUCUUUUCAAAGGCAUGUGCACACCUUGUCAUCUUUAUAUCUCCACCUGUGCACCUUUUGUAGGCCUGGAUUCAACAUUCCGAGGCAACUCGGUCGUGAGGAAUUGCUUCACAGCUUUCCUUGUAAGUUUCCAGGCCUAUGUUUUUCAUAUACACCAUAAGAAUGUAACAGAAUGUCAUUAUUAGACUUCAUUGUCUUAUAAACUAUAUACAACUUUCAGCAACGGAUCUCUUGGCUCUCGCAUCGAUGAAGAACGCAGCGAAAUGCGAUAAGUAAUGUGAAUUGCAGAAUUCAGUGAAUCAUCGAAUCUUUGAACGCACCUUGCGCUCCUUGGUAUUCCGAGGAGCAUGCCUGUUUGAGGGUCAUUAAAUUCUCAACCUUUGUCAACUUUUUUGGUUGACCAAUGGCUUGGAUGUGGGGGUUUUGCAGGUUUCUCUUUUGAAAUCAGCUCCCCUGAAAUGUAUUAGCUGGUUGCGUUGUGUAGACCUGUCUAUUGGUGUGAUAAUUAUCUACGCCGUGGACUGUUUGCCAUUUUAGCACUGCUUCUAACUGUCUGUUCAUUCAGACGAUAUAUGACAAUUGACCUCAAAUCAGUAG